CAUCAAUCACACUACUGUGGCUACAUACUUAUAGACUUAGCCUCUCAAAUCUUAUAGGACCACAUCUUUCUAUUAAAAUUGAUAUAUUCCAUCUAGAUGUGCAUCCUACUCCUAUAGCGGAUCAACUUUCGCCAACAUACACUACAAGGACCAAAUGGUUAAGAGGCCAUAUUUCUAUAUAGUCAAACUUCAGCGACCUCACUAUGAGCAAUCAUGCCAUCG
This 222-nucleotide long non-coding RNA is filed under the name Elaeis guineensis (African oil palm). RNAcentral describes it as "long non-coding RNA (EGUI_LNC066645)". The record is from RNAcentral. Lineage: Eukaryota; Viridiplantae; Streptophyta; Magnoliopsida; Arecales; Arecaceae.